RNAcentral lists this long non-coding RNA (425 nucleotides) under Eufriesea mexicana. Its description in RNAcentral is "uncharacterized LOC108553148, transcript variant X1". The record is from RNAcentral. Lineage: Eukaryota; Metazoa; Arthropoda; Insecta; Hymenoptera; Apidae.
UUUCUGUUGAAAUUGGCAUGCUUGGCUGCACUAUAUCUUUAGAUUAGCUUAUAUCUUCCUACGUGGCAUCGAAGGGUGGUCCUUCAGCUAUACAUCUACGAAACGGAAGACACGCGAAGUCAUGAUAAAUCUUGCAAGAAUGUAUUGCUUGGGACUGACUUGAGAUGACUGGACAAGAAUUUUUUGCAUCCACCUGUAAACUCACUCGAUGCAAUUAGUAAUCAGUUCACUAAAGUCGGUUGACGUUGCACGAGUAUGGAGUAGCCGCCAAACCAGAGUCGAUCUACGAUUUGCCUACUCGGACGGGACACGACGGGUUAUCGCGCAAACGAUGGGGAAACAACCGGCCGAAUGCAUGUUUUCCUACAGCUCGAACGAAAAAACCACCCUCAACUGGCGUACAGAGUCAUGUAAUUUUCUGGAAA